GUGGAUACAGCUCAGUGGUGGGGCGCAUGCUUAGCACACGUGAGGUCCUGGGUUCAAUCCCCAGUACCUCUA
RNAcentral lists this transfer RNA (72 nucleotides) under Camelus bactrianus (Bactrian camel). It matches the Rfam family "tRNA". Rfam says of the family: Transfer RNA (tRNA) molecules are approximately 80 nucleotides in length. Their secondary structure includes four short double-helical elements and three loops (D, anti-codon, and T loops). RNAcentral also lists the same sequence under 2 other names. The record is from Rfam by way of RNAcentral. Lineage: Eukaryota; Metazoa; Chordata; Mammalia; Artiodactyla; Camelidae.